RNAcentral lists this ribosomal RNA (577 nucleotides) under uncultured bacterium. RNAcentral's name for it is "partial 16S ribosomal RNA". It matches the Rfam family "Bacterial small subunit ribosomal RNA", at positions 356 to 1376 of the family's 1533-position model. The record is from RNAcentral.
UGAGAAUAUUGGUCAAUGGUCGCAAGACUGAACCAGCCAUGCCGCGUGCAGGAAGACGGUCCUAUGGAUUGUAAACUGCUUUUAUACAGGAAGAAACCCUCCCACGUGUGGGAGCUUGACGGUACUGUAGGAAUAAGGAUCGGCUAACUCCGUGCCAGCAGCCGCGGUAAUACGGAGGAUCCAAGCGUUAUCCGGAAUCAUUGGGUUUAAAAGGGUCCGUAGGCGGUCUUAUAAGUCAGUGGUGAAAGCCCAUCGCUCAACGAUGGAACUGCCAUUGAUACUGUAAGACUUGAAUGCUUAGGAAGUAACUAGAAUAUGUAGUGUAGCGGUGAAAUGCUUAGAUAUUACAUGGAAUACCAAUUGCGAAGGCAGGUUACUACUAAGUGAUUGACGCUGAUGGACGAAAGCGUGGGGAGCGAACAGGAUUAGAUACCCUGGUAGUCCACGCCGUAAACGAUGGAUACUAGCUGCUCGGCGCAAGUUGAGUGGCUAAGCGAAAGUGAUAAGUAUCCCACCUGGGGAGUACGCACGCAAGUGUGAAACUCAAAUGAAUUGACGGGGUCAUAGCUGUUUCCUG